This 10978-nucleotide long non-coding RNA is filed under the name Musa acuminata (dwarf banana). RNAcentral describes it as "long non-coding RNA (MACU_LNC006021)". The record is from RNAcentral. Lineage: Eukaryota; Viridiplantae; Streptophyta; Magnoliopsida; Zingiberales; Musaceae.
CCCAGUGGUGGUUGACUUGCCAGAAUCGACGUGACCAAUGACCACAAUGCUGAUGUGAACCUUCUCUUUCCCCAUGGCGACUGUAGCUUAAAGCAAAAAAAACUACCAAUAAAGAAAAGAUAAUUAACAUCAGAUAUAAACUCUGUAAUCUGUAAUAAUUCUUAAAUUAUGAAACAAAAAACAUAUCAGGUGCCACCAAGCAAUCACCAACUUAAUGUAUUUUAGAUGCAUCAGAUAUAUGAAUCAUUUUAAUAUAAAGAACCACUUAGACAUAGGAUAUACAGAUUCUAGUAAAAGAAACAACAUAUUAAAAUUAUUGUUCCAGAUCCAAUUGAAAACAUACGUAACCUGUGUAGAUGAUUAGUUGUAACAGUCAACAACAAGGAAUAUUGAUUCAAACAUUAAACUAGUUAUGAGCCUGAAACUUCUAAUAUCCUUUUUAGCCAUAAAAGAGGAACAAAAAGGUCAACUAAAUGGACCCAUUGCACAAGUGACAACAUAAUUAUUGUACAAUCAAAUACAUGUGACCAAUCUCUAGGCAAUAACUUGGCUAGGACCAUGUGCAACUGCAGUAGCAAUAUAAAUUCAAGGACAGACCUCAGGGAGGUGGAUGUCUCUACCAACUUAAUGACAAAACAUACGAUGUCGUACCAAAUGCAAAUUAUUACUAAUGAUUUUCAGAAAGUAAUGUUCCAUGAAAUGCUAAAUGAAACUUGAAACAUACAAAUGGUACAAACAGGCUAGUAAGAAAUCAAUGCAGAAGACAUCUUAAGCACACAUGAAUACAGGAGUUAAACAUAAUGAAAGCGUACAAUGAUGAAUGAACAUAAGAACCACAUUUGAGUUGUAUGCCACAAAAGCCACUGUUUAUGAAAUUACAUGAAUUUCAAGCUAGAAAAAUAGUAUUAACUAAAACAAGCUUCAGCAAGCAGUAGCUAUUUUAAUUACAGCAUUCAGAUCAACCCUGCAUUAAGGAUUCAUAAACUAGUUCCAUCAACAUUUGAUAAAGCAAGAACGAUUCUAGAGAAGAUCCUUCAAGUAAGAGGGAAUAAUGACAUAUGUCAAAUAAGAUGAGCAGCCCUCUAAACUAUCUAGGUCUGCGCAAUACAUUAGGCAUAUCUCUUGAUGAUAUACUGGCGUGGAGACCGAACUUGGGAAUGUAAUGAAGUCAAUAGCGUCCAAUAGGAUUUGAACCUAUACCCAAGGCCUAAAGAGCCUUCAUCCUUUCCAUUAGACAAUGGACGCUUAAAUCAUUCCCAUGUUCUUUGAUCAAACGAUAUACAGCACACAAAAUUUAAAGACAAUUCUAGUUUCACAUCAGGAUCCCAUGAGAACAGGACAAAAUUCACCAAAGUCAGAAUUUACGUGCUAAAACAAUAAUUAAGUGAGAAAAUGAACAUGAUAUCUAUAGACAAUUUCGCUAAAUUGUUAGAUCUAACAUGCAAGGUACAAAUCACAGAAACGUGUUAACUACUAAAUCCAAGGAUAGGUAAUUACCAUAAACAACCAUAAAAAGCACUGCAGGGGGGCGUAGAAGCGCGCCGAAUUAAAAUCUAGGGUUUAUAUUAAAGGCACAAAGAAAAAGAAACCCCAACCGUGCACAUACUUCGACAAAACUCAUGAAAAGUAAGACAUAAGAGUCUCAAAUGAAUAAAAUCGACGCAACGACUGGAACUCACCUCAGCGAAAAACAAGAAUCAAGAUAACUAUGCCAGCUGAUCGAAAAGGGGACGAGAAUCGCCAAAAUCAAACUCAAAUAUCGAGAAAAACAAGUCAACUUACGAAAAGACUCAUCGUUCCGACACGGUUACAGAUCAAGAACACGCAACAAAGAAACAGAGGCAAAGCAAUGAUCCGCGAUCGGGCGAUUGGAACUCACCUAAUACAGAGGCGGCCGAGAGGUAGCGAAGUGAGUUGCGGAGAUGAGCGACGCCCUCCGCUUCUUUUAAAGACAUCCGGGGGCGUAGUGGCACCUAGGGUUUACUCUUCACCGUCCGAUCCUUGUAUCUGACGGUCCUGAAAGUGUCAUCGUCAGCUCCGUCCGAAUUAAAUCCAACGGUUAGAGAGGGCUCCGAGCAGGAGCACGAAUCGUAUCGCAUAAAAGAGACCUCCUUUCGGUCGUCGGAAACGACAUCAUCGGACGGUGGAGGAUGUCGAGUGGAAUUGGGUAAUAUUAUACAUUAACUUAUUCUCUUUUGUUUUUUCGUUUCAUUUAUUGGAGUUUAUGUUUUGCUCAUUAGUAAGACAAUUUGGAGAUGAUGGUCGCCUAAAAGAUUAAGAAGAUAAUAAGAUAAUGGUAGGGCUAAUUGAUUAUCUCAUAUUAAAUUAAUAAAUUAAAUAAAUCAUAUAUUUUCUAUUCGAGUCUUUCGUAUAAAAAUUAAAAUUUGUCAUGAUAAUAAGAUAAGAGUAUUACUAAUUGAUCAUCAUCUUAUGUUAAAAUAAAAUUUGAAUAAUCAUAUUUUUUUAGUUUCUUAUGAUCCAUCAAUAGUAUAUCAGUUCCAAUAAUAUUUGUCAUAACUCAAUAUGAUAAAAUAACUUAUUUGUUAAUUGAUGAAAUAAUGAUUGAAAAUGUUUAAGCCCAACAAUCAUUCAAUAUUUCAUAAAUUAAUCUUAAUCUUUAAGCAGUUUAGGACAAAAUAACAUAUUUCCACAGCCAAACUUACUAAGCAGCAUGUAAUUGAAAUGUAAGUCCCAUGGAAGCAUGCAUUUACAUUUAACACCACAGAAUGCAAUGGAGUUCCAAAAAUUGGAAUCAUGUAGUAGAAACUUCAAUUAAAUCCUUGUUCAUCACAAAAUAAGAAUUCAUAUAAACAAACCACUCACUUGCAAACAUCUCACUCAAGAUAAAUGGUAAUCAUAGAAUAAACUGACAACAGUUGGUCCUCCACCCAUUUCAUAACUAUCUUCUCCCAGGUUUCAAUGGAGCUGCCUGCUUCUCGUGUUGAUUCUGUCGUGAUCAGGAUCGGACUUCUACAUCCUUCACCAAUGCCAUGUCCACCUUGGGAGGACCUGAGCUCCGUCUCACCGCAGCUGGAGAUGCUGGACUGUAUCUCUCUCCUGUGGGGAAAGACAGCCUCUUCUUCGCAGAAACCACAGAGGAUCUGUCUGCAGACUCAAUGGUGUCAUCUGAAAGGCUCUGGAAGCGGGACUUCGCUCUUGCUGAUUCUGUGGGUGCCAUGUAGCUCGGAACGGCUGGUGAACCAGCUAGGCUCUCAUCGUCUCUCACUGAUGCUGCUGCUAAGCUGUGCCUCCUGGAUCGCUCAGAUUGCAGGCUGACCAUGCUCCUCAAGUCGUCUUCCAAUGGUGCCCAACCACGCUUCGGACUUGCUGAUUUCAUCUUCCCUGUUAACAAUGGUGCCUUCACAGGUGGUGUCGAGGGAGAUUGGCGGCUUGCAGGACGACUUGGUUUCUGGUUUGAUGGUGACGGCUUAUCUGGAUUGGCAUUGCGACAAGCAUAAGCUUUUAAGAUUACCCCACCUCCAUCACUCUGCAUGGUACUCUUGAUGGAGGCACGGUCAUCGUUCGGUUCUCUAUCUGUUGUGCUCCUGGUCUCCCAUGGCCUUGCUGCCAUCCAUCGCUCCAACCAGCUCCAACCCCAUUGUAGGUUAUUGGGGUCCAUAAACAAUGGAUUCACUGGCUUUGAGGAACUCUUCCACUGCUGCACAGCAAAAUUUGGAAGAUAGAAGUAAUUGAUAUUGAAGAAUAUUAUGAAUUCAAAAGAUAUAUGAAAGUUGCUAAGUGGCAACUUUUUUUUAAAAAGAACUGUGGCACUAACAAUUUUAUGAGGAAAUUAUAUUAAUAGUUUUAAACAUUCACAUAGAUGCUAAAUUCCAUUGAUAGAAUGAGCUCAAUUACCUGAUGAGAAAAUGCAUAAGCCAGUGCUCUUUCUCUUCUUAUUGCAGCCUCUUGCUUGCUUAACAGACUUGCCUCAAUCUGUUCUUUUGAUUGCAAACUGUCAUCCCAUUCCUCACCCAUCUGUUAUUAAAAGAGAAAUUAGACAUGGUCCAAAUUUGUAAUUUUUGCUUACUGAAAAUGUUUGAAAGUGUUUUUUUUGCUGUUCUCCAAUAACAUAUAGUGCAAGAAACACAUUUAAAGCGAUGAAUGGUUACAAAAGCAACUUUAUUGGCAAGUAUCAAACAGGAACAGAAUAGAGAAUUAGAUCCUAGCAGUCGAUUUCCUAGCCUCAUUUCUGUUAAUCUUGACUUGUGAAAGCAUAUCUUGAUCAAUCAUGUCCACCAUACAAACAUGUUUCAAGUACUCAUCAAGAACAUAGAAAACAUUGAAUAUGUCUCCCAAUAUCAACGGAUUCUGAAAGCAGCACAUGUGUAGAAAUACACGGACAACCAAUUUUUCUUGUUUUUUUGUUUCAAUUGUGAUGCCUAAUUCAUGGCAUUCAAAUUUUAGUUCUCUAUAAAUCAGUUAUCUGUAUGUAAAAACAUCAAACUUUAUCAAGGUUGCUUCCCAUCUAGUUUGGAUGCAAACAAGUGGCAUGAAAUAUACAACUUUAACAACAUUUAUCGGCAACCCUAUGCAUAGAUGGAUGUAUGCAUAAAGAUGAGUCAUUUUGACCUCGAUAGGAAAACCUGUAAAAGUGAAAUUGUGUAUUCAUUUCAUCUUUUUCUACAUGCAAUUAUAGAUUUAAGCAAUCAACCAUGAGAUCAAAUCAAAAAAUAUAUGUACUAAGCAAUAUAAGUUAAAUAUAAAUGGCUCCAUCAUCCUCCUGAUUAAAUAGAUGUUAAGAAAAGCGAACAAAUUUUGAAUGUGUUCUCAGUUCUGUACAACAAGAAAACUUUGUGCUAAGACAGGAAACAAACAUGGAAUUUGUGAGUUACCUUCAAACUUUCAAGCUCUCUUUCAUGUUUGAGCAGCAUUUGUCGCUGAAGAGCCUGGUUCUCUUCUAGCAUCCUGAUUCUCCUUGAGCGGAUCUGUGAUUGAACCCUUGCCAGGGUCUGCAUGCAUCGUAAUGUGGUUGUAGCCUGACGCUUAACAGUAUCACCAUCAACCAGUGACUUCAACCUAACCAACCCUCUCAAUGCCCGUAGAGCUCUCCUUGCCUUGACACAAGAUUGAAACAAUAGGCAAUUAUGAACAAUUAACUAACUUAAGAAUUUAAAGAAAGAAUUUGUGAAGCUGCAAAUUUGGAUCAGAAUAUUAAGACUGGUGUUUUGGCCAAUCACUUGUAAGCUGAGAUGCAUAAAGUUUGGUUUUGCCUACCUGCACAAUAUAGAAGGGUUACCUUCACACUUUUUGUGUUGUUGGUGAGCUUGAUUAGAUCAUCACAAUCUCAGAUAAAUGGCCAUCGGUAUGGUAAACGGAACACAGCUAUAUGGUAUAAGAUGCAUCGAACAAUUUUGUUGGUCUCAGUACAGUUAUGUAAAGAAAUCUGUGCUGUACAAACAUGGUUUUUCGAGAAAUGAUAAAACAUGCAAGUAUCUGGAUGUUACAGUAGGAGUUGGGACAUGACAUUAAUUGAAGAUCUUAGGAAGCAUAGACACUUAAAGUUAAUCACUUGGACUAACUUGGGUUCAUUUGAAGAUCUUCCAUUUUUGACACACAAGAAUAUUAUCUUAAUUUGACUGUUCACUAAUAAACAACAAACAAACAUAAACAUUGUGCAAUAAGUUUCUUGGAAAGCACAAGUGGAACCCACUAUUGAGUACUAUAUUUGUUCAUAACCCAAAGCCACGCAAGAACUAUGCAAGUUUUGAUAGCUUGCCAUUUUAAAAAUGGCAAGCGAUCCCACUAAAUUUCUUCUGUUGGACAAACUUGCAGGAACUUUGAACUUGUUGAUUGUCUACUACAAAAUGACACUCUAGCAUCAGAAAUGUUAGUGCUUGUUGAGAGCAGAAUUGGAACAGCCUACUGGUACAAAUGCCAUAUUCCGAAUUCCAACAAGUAUAUUAAUCGUUAUAUUGCAACAAGAAUUGAAUCAGCCUACUGGUACAAAUGCCAUGUGAGUUCAAGUACAUAGUAAUUAAGACCUAUAUGUUAUAUUGCAACAGAAGUUAAAAUCUCUAUGAAGGGCAUGAAGAAGAUGUGAAUAAUUUCAUUGUUAUGUGGAGGACAAUGCACCGAGUUCACGUACCAGGUGGCCUCGGAAAGCAGUCUGGAUCUUGAUUGCAGCGAUCUCUUCUGUCGUCUUGCCUGGGUAUUUUGUGGUGCUUUUGAGGCGAAUGAUCUCCCUUGCGGCCUCAGAAGAUGUCACAACAGGUUCAAUGGCAGCAGGAGCGGCAACUGCUGCGGAACAAGCAUGCCUGCUCUGCUCAUUCUCAAUCUCCACUACUUUAUCCUCCUCCGGAUGACGAGGAGGCGGAGGAGGAACUACCUCGGAAGCAGCACGCUCUAAUGAGUCAGCAGGUUUGGAAGUCCCAGAUUCCAGUUUCUUCUUCAAUCUCUGGAAAAAAGAAUGAAUUUUCAGUAAGAGAAGUUUGGUAGAGCAGAUCUGAUCAGCAAAGGAGUGGGGGCAAAAUCCGUACCGCUUCCUUCUUCGCCUUUGAUUCAGGGCUGAAGACCCUCUUCACAGCGCUGAACCACUUCCCCUUCUUCCCCAUGACCCCACUGUUCUUCUUCUUCUUCUUCUCCUUCUUCUUCUUCGAAAUGGAUACUCUAUUAAAAGAAAUUUGAAUCAAGAACCAAAACGAAAUGCAAUCUUCGGAGCCAAGGAAGCCAGAUCCUGAACAAAAACCCGCAAAAAACCUAUCUUUCUCAUAAAGAUCUGAUCUUUUCAACAGAAAAAAGAAAGGUCGCUUCCUCAAGCAAGAACAAAUCUUUUUCCCUUUCUGAAGGCGAAAGAAAUAACAAGUUUCAAGAUCUCCUAAGAAAAAAAGAGUUAUAUACCAAAAUGUAUACUUUCCGUAGCAACGGAGGAAAAGAAUAUGAAUGAAGCACGAGUUGAAUCGAACAGGCAAAAACCAAUCCACGGAAUAGAAACAUGUUGAAGGAGUAGAUCAUUGGAUGCGAAGUGGAAUGAGCUGAACACCUUGGAAACCCUCGAUCUCUCCCUCUCUCUGGCCUCAGCAACGGACACCGAACACAACCGGACAAAAGAGUCAAAACGAACUCGCGACGACUAAAUCAAUCGCUUCGUUCUCCGCCACUCCGUGCGAGAAGGAGAGAGACCGGACCGAUCCCAGAUGAGAAUACUAGAUCUGCGUGGAGAACGAGCGAGCGAGCGAGCGACCAACGGAAGGACGGCGGGCCCACAGAAGGGUCCCACCGAGAUGUAAUGAACCUACCUCCCCUCGUGAUCGGGAGUGGCGGCGGGUCCCACACGGGGCCCAUGUCGCAGAGGCAGUUGGGUGAGGUGCGCAGGCGACGGAAACAGAGCAGCUCCGUCGUCAUCCAAAUAGUUGGAUCGGGUAACCGCCCGCCCAGGGGUGAGGUUUCCGACACUGGUGACGUGGCAGGAAACGAUUGCGCAAAGGGGAUUUAGCGAGCUGGAGAGAGAGAUGACGCGCUUCGCGGUGCGCACAUCGGCACUCACCGUCGAGAACGAUCGAGCACGAAACCUGUGAGCUUAUACAUCUAAUGUUGGAAACAGGGAAGCUGCGUGUGACCAACGGAUGAAGUCAGUAACUCACGGUGCAACUUCCACUCCACCAAACCAUAUGAAUUCCUCCCUCUCUCUCUCUCUCUCUGCUUUCAUGGAAGGCUGUGAUCUGUGAGAGCAGCAGCAGCACUGGCGUUGCAUGACUUCGAAGCAAUGCUUGAUUCACAUGCCUUGUCAAACGUCACAUGGACGAUGUGACAGAUUAUUAAUGAAACAUUAAAAAGAGUCUUUCCUUUUCAUGAUUACUGCUGUACAGCAUUCAAUUUGUGCGGUUUCUUUCAUAGCAUGGGUUGACAAACCAAAUUAAGAUAAGCGUUUCUGUGAUCUUGAAAGCAGGUGAGGGUGCAGAUCUGGAUUCCAGAUUGGAAAUAAUAACAUGUAACCUCUUGUUUCCAGCCUUUUCGAGCUGGUGAUCUGCAGUAUGAACCAGCAAAUUUUGGGUAGUAUUUGCUAUUAUUUGAUUGCAUUGCAGCAAAAUUGAGAACAGAUGGGUUAUGACUGUCUCCUAUCAUUCAUAUGAUCUUGCAGAAUUGUCUGGGCAUUAUCUCUUUCUUUUGUUGAAGAGCACUACAUCUCUUUAAUUUUGUGAUUUAGUUAAUAAUUAAUGUAACUAAAUUUCAUGUCAUCAAUCAUCUGAGAGAAAUACUUGCUUUCAUAAAUGUCAAACAACAUCAUGAGUUGCUACUAUUAACCUAUACAUUUAUUUCAUGGAUUGGUUGGAUGCUGCAUUUUAUUAGGCCUUGUCUCUGAGGAGCCUUUUCUGAGACUCACAACUAGUAUUGUUUGUGAGUCACCAUGCCCAAUGAUAAGCCCCAAAGUCCAUAUCCAACUUCUCCACCAGGUCAGAUCUCAUGACUAAACUCAAGAUCACUUGCAGCAACUCUGGGAAAUUAUGAUGCUAAAGACUCUUUUCAGAUAGUAUCAUUAACCUGCAAUCCAUAUCAAAUAUUAAGAACAGAGCUUCUAUCUAUAUGUAAUUUGAAGAGGUCUAGUGUGUGCAAGAGAUUAUUUUCAUGGCUCGAAUUCAAACCAUGUUAUUUUAAGACUAUUUAAGAAAGAUAAUUUCAUGCUCAGACCAUGCAACUUGACUGGAUCUGACCCUGUGGAAUGCCUGUCUUAUACUGAUUCUAUCAGAAAGUUUGAAAUGCAUGUUUGGCACUGAGAUAACUCUGUAAAAUUUUUCUGGCACUGAGAAAACUGGGGUUUUUGGUGCACUGAAGUAUUGUAGGGAAAAAAAAUAAGGUUUCUUGGAAUUCAAAGCUAAAAUGUUGUGACAGUUGGACACUGGAUUUGAUGAUUUUCUUGCAAUAACUGUCUGGGUUUAAAUUCUAAAGAAAUACACAUUAAAGAGACUAUUACUACUAAAUGCUAACUCAUAUCAAGACACAAGAAAAACAACUAUCAGCCACUAAGGCUGAAGUCUCAAUGUUUAAAAGAAAUAUAACAAACAACAUAUUCCUUUGUGAAGAAAAAUAAUGAUAACUAGUUCUGCAAGCUUCACAUGAUUCUUAGACAAGUUAAACAUGGAUUAUACAAACUGCUGAAUCACUAUUCAUGUGAAUGAAGUUCCAUACAAGCAAGAGGACAAGUCUUGUUUUCUGGUAACACAAACAACAUUUCAACUAAGGAAAAAUGAGAUCACCCACUGUCUUCUGUUUGAUUGUGUUGAACAUAAAAGAUAACUGAUACAAAUAGAACUGUCACAUAGAGACAAAUCAAGCCAACUGGAAUUUGAUGGAGCCUCUUCUCUUCCUUCGGCAACUUGAAGCCAAUCAUCAACUGCUGGAGGUAGGAGCACAAACUUUCAUUAACAAACCUUCAAGCAUCCAUUAUGUUUAUAUUGUAUAGCAACAGCUCUAAUCUACAGACCUGUCUAGAACUGGAACCUGCUAGGUCUUGCUUUACUCAUCCUGUUCUCUCCGAAGGGCUCAUCGUUGUCGAUCCUUUUUGCGUUUCUGAAUGCGGCACAACCAAUGACGUACACGAUCACGAGGAUGACGAGCACAACAAUGUUAAUCACGGAGACCUUCCUCCAGUUAUGCCUGAUGCUCGCGAGAACCCCGGCCUUGCAUGAUCCACACUGGUAGCACAGUGAAUGUUGCUCGUUGCUCCACCUGGUGCAGUCAAUGUCAUUCACCACAGUCCCUGGUUGUGCAGUCCAGUAUGUCUCAUUUACGUAUGUAAACCCACACGAAGUGGGAGGCUUACAACACCCAGACUGCAUCGUUGAGAACCAACACAAUCGAGAAAAUGAACAUUGGUAAAGAAAAAAAAAGUCAUCAACUCCUUAGAGAAAAUACGUUAUAAAUGUAGCUGGUAAUGACAAUAUCUUUCAGUUAACAGUUAAGGUAGAUGCUAAACAAAUGUUAUACAACAUACUUGAGAUACAACUUUUGAUUAAAGAAAUUGAGCAGAAAGCAAUAAACUAUUCGGGAAUGGCACUCAAGCAAUAAGAAAGUUAAAAGUCCACUGAAACAGAUUAUACUUGAUGUUUAUUAAAUAUCUUGUGAAAUUAAAAGGGCUCAUUCAAUUCCAUUUAAAUUGGUGUAGAUCCUCUACAACUAUGAUUUUUGUAGAUUCUCCGCGGCCCGGUCCCUGGCAAUGUUUGUUUGGUCAAAAUGCAAUCCAAUCAGUCGGGGAACUAUUAGGGGGUAAAACAACCAAGAAAGCGGAUGAAUAAUAAGUUUCCAUCUAUUGAGGUCAUAGAGAUUAACAAUUUGGGAUUGGGAAGACCCGUAAUACCUAAACCAGAGGGAGUACUCUCCUCUGGAUAAGGUAAGUAGAAGACUAGCAAUUGGAGAACCAACCAAAGUCUUCAAUGGGGAUAGUGUGGGGUAGGAGAUGGAAAGGAGCAUUCAAGGACAGGAAUGGCCACCCACUCCAAAAUAACAUGUGCUGUUGGUUCUUUAUAAUUACCACAAGUUGUAGAUCUUCCAUGAUACCCACUUAAUUUCUGUGUUCUAUCUUCUCCCUUGGUCCCACUACAGGGGAAAAGAUAAAAUAAAGACCUCAUCCUCAAUCAUGUAGCCAUGGUGGUUCUCCUUUUUGUCGACUAGGAAAAGAAGAAAGUAGAUAAAAGAUCUGUUGCUGUCAUAUGGUGCAGCUCUAGUGAUCCCUGAGGACUUUUCUGCACAACAGGGUUUUCUAUCAGCACAUGAACAAAGAUGUCUUUUUCUGUCUACAUCUGUUGUUUCCUUUGCUGUUAAUUUUUCUUUGAUUCUUAAGAAUCAUUUAAGAAGGCAGGAUGCAGCUUAUUGUUUGUGUUGUUAAGCUUUGAUAUAAUCCUCCAACUUUAUUUACAUAUCAAUAAAGAUGAGCAUAGAUAAUCUUUGAAGGGGAAUCUGAAACCUGAACUAGAAAAAGGCAAACAAAAAGAACUUGCCAGAAGGGCAGUCUGCCAUCUACAUAUAUUGCUUGGAGGCAAACAUA